ACACGUAGGGGACGAGCGUUGUCCGGAAUUACUGGGCGUAAAGGGCGCGCAGGCGGAUAUUUAAGUCAGCUGUAAAAGGCAUGAGCUCAACUCAUGUAUGCGGUUGAAACUGGGUAUCUAGAGUGCUGGAGAGGUAGGCGGAAUUCCCGGUGUAGCUGUGAAAUGCGUAGAUAUCGGGAAGAACACCAGUGGCGAAGGCGGCUUACUGGCCAGCAACUGACGCGGAGGCGCGAAAGCCAGGGGAGCGAACGGGAUGAGAUACCCCGGUAGUCCUGGCCGUAAACGAUGAAUGCUAGGUGUGGGUGUCGAGAGGCAUCCGUGCCGGAGUUAACGCGAUAAGCAUUCCGCCUGGGGAGUACGAUCGCAAGAUUGAAACUCAAAUGAAUUGACGGGG
RNAcentral lists this ribosomal RNA (394 nucleotides) under uncultured bacterium. RNAcentral describes it as "partial 16S ribosomal RNA". It matches the Rfam family "Bacterial small subunit ribosomal RNA", at positions 523 to 918 of the family's 1533-position model. The record is from RNAcentral.